CCUACGGGGGGCAGCAGUGGGGAAUAUUGCGCAAUGGGCGAAAGCCUGACGCAGCGACGCCGCGUGAGGGAUGAAGGUCUUCGGAUCGUAAACCUCUGUCAGCAGGGAAGAACGGUCACUGUGCUAAUCAGCAGUGAAUUGACGGUACCUGCAAAGGAAGCACCGGCUAACUCCGUGCCAGCAGCCGCGGUAAUACGGAGGGUGCGAGCGUUAAUCGGAAUUACUGGGCGUAAAGCGCACGUAGGCGGUCUGUCAAGUCAAGUGUGAAAUCCCCGCGCUCAACGUGGGAACUGCCUUUGAAACUGGCAAACUGGAGUGUGUGAGAGGAUAGUAGAAUUCCAGGUGUAGGAGUGAAAUGCGUAGAGAUCUGGAGGAAUAUCAGUGGCGAAGGCGACUAUCUGGCACAUAACUGACGCUGAGGAGCGAAAGCGUGGGGAGCAAACAGGAUUAGAUACCCUGGUAGUC
This 465-nucleotide ribosomal RNA is filed under the name uncultured bacterium. RNAcentral's name for it is "partial 16S ribosomal RNA". It matches the Rfam family "Bacterial small subunit ribosomal RNA", at positions 338 to 795 of the family's 1533-position model. The record is from RNAcentral.